This 376-nucleotide ribosomal RNA is filed under the name uncultured bacterium. Its description in RNAcentral is "bacterial SSU rRNA". It matches the Rfam family "Bacterial small subunit ribosomal RNA", at positions 521 to 896 of the family's 1533-position model. The record is from RNAcentral.
UAAUACGAAGGGGGCGAGCGUUGUUCGGAAUUACUGGGCGUAAAGGGCGCGCAGGCGGCCUUAGAAGUCAGAUGUGAAAGCCCCGGGCUCAACCUGGGAAUGGCAUUUGAUACUCUGAGGCUGGAGUACGGGAGAGGAGAGUGGAAUUCCCAGUGUAGAGGUGAAAUUCGUAGAUAUUGGGAAGAACACCGGUGGCGAAGGCGGCUCUCUGGACCGUAACUGACGCUGAGGCGCGAAAGCGUGGGGAGCAAACAGGAUUAGAUACCCUGGUAGUCCACGCCGUAAACGAUGUGCGCUAGACGUUGGAGGACCUAGUCCUCCGGUGUCGCAGCCAACGCGAUAAGCGCACCGCCUGGGGAGUACGGCCGCAAGGUUA